Molecule: ribosomal RNA, 663 nt
Filed under: uncultured Cortinariaceae
Lineage: Eukaryota; Fungi; Basidiomycota; Agaricomycetes; Agaricales; Cortinariaceae
Description: eukaryotic LSU rRNA
Rfam family: 5.8S ribosomal RNA (bases 275-428)
Source: RNAcentral
AACAAGGUUUCCGUAGGUGAACCUGCGGAAGGAUCAUUAUUGAAUAAACUUGAACAGGCUGUUGCUGAUCCUCUGGGGUAUGUGCACGCUUGUCAUCUUUGUUUUUCCAACUGUGCACAAAUUGUAGACCUGGAAUUUUAUUAUUAUUGAUUCACUUCGAGAGUUGGGAUUGCUGUGUUGUGAAGCCAGCUUUUCCUUGCAUAUUUUCCAGGUUCUAUGCCAUUUUCACAACCUCUACAAUCAUGUUUAGAAUGUUGGAUAAUAAUAUGUAUACAACUUUCAGCAACGGAUCUCUUGGCUCUCGCAUCGAUGAAGAACGCAGCGAAAUGCGAUAAGUAAUGUGAAUUGCAGAAUUCAGUGAAUCAUCGAAUCUUUGAACGCAUCUUGCGCUCCUUGGUAUUCCGAGGAGCAUGCCUGUUUGAGUGUCAUUUAAGUUCUCAACCACAUCUGAGUCAUCAGGUGUGGAUUGGACGUGGGGGUAUUGCAGGCUUCUUCGAGUUGUCGGCUCCCCUGAAAUGCAUUAGUGGUGUCUGAGCAGAAUAAACUACUACCACAGGUGUGAUUAAUUAUCUACGCCUUGAUAGUGCUGCAUGAAACAGAUCGUGCUGCUUCUAACGAGUGAAAUCCUCACAUUUGAUGAAUUUGACCUCAAAUCAGGUAGGA